This is a long non-coding RNA of Artibeus jamaicensis (Jamaican fruit-eating bat), 1441 nucleotides long. RefSeq lists it as uncharacterized. The record is from RefSeq and is a predicted model, not a curated record. The transcript is spliced from 3 exons. Lineage: Eukaryota; Metazoa; Chordata; Mammalia; Chiroptera; Phyllostomidae.
UUUCGCCGUAGGUGGUGGAUGCAGCUCCAGAAAGGUCCGAGUGGACAAAGAAGUAGUGCCCGCAGAGGUUUACGGCCGAGUUGAGCGCCACAGACCCGGCCUUGCAGCGGGUCACUGGGCUGGAUGGCCUCGCGGGGCUGAGCAUCCGCCUCAUCUCGCCGGUCCUGUCAUAGCAGUCUACUCCAGGCACAGGUGAGAAGAAAAGUUCAGCAGAACUUGAUGUGCCCAAAGGCUAUUCAACAUUCAACCUCUGCUGCCACCACCCCAGACCUCCCAGGACUGCAGGAGGCAAGUGGGACAGGGUAGCUCUUCCUGCCCUGCUUCUGGGACGAGGGAGGCUUAGCUCACAGAGGCAGCAACCCCUCUUCCAUUUCGGAGUCUCUGCACUGCCAUAGUAUAUCUGAAUAAGGGGACAUCAGGAAAGGGUUUUAUGUGGGGCAAAAUGUGGAUGAUGACACCAUUGGCAGCAAGUCUGGGGAGAGAAGAGAACCCAAAAGGGCCUGGACUCAUGAAAUGAAGUUGGUGUCCACCUCUCACCAACUCACUUUCCCCUCUGCCAGCUGAGGACCUUGCGCCCAUCCAGGAUGGGGGUCCAAGCAACACCACCCUUCCAAUAGCUGCCCCCUGCACACACACUGAGGCAUCCAGGGCCUUUCCUACACCUCAGGAUGGAGCCCGUGGCUUUCCUUAGUGUCAUCUAGUCCACACAGCUCAGGGGUGACCAUGGUGGCAGCAACAUGAAGCUCCAUCUUCUUACCCUAGAGCAGCACCAUUUGGGAACGGCUGAGGAGGCAAAGGAGGCCAGCUGUCAACCAGUCUCUGCCCGUGAUCUGUCCCUGUGUGCCUCUAGUGGAAGAGAAAUGGUUUAAGGAAGAGAAGAAAGGGGGGCCCUGAAAUCUCUACAAAUUUCUGCUAAUCCUGGGUACAUCUCCAAAUACUGCACAGCUUUGAAUAUUUAGGAAGACAGAGGAGAGGAAGUAGGAAAAGAGACACAGAUAGAGGGGAAAAUAAGACCUGCGACUCAAAGGAAGUGGAAUUCAAACGGCUAGUAAUAGAAAGGAGCAUUUGCAGGUCCAGGAUAAGAGUAUAAAUGGAGGCACAUACACCAUGUUUCCAUAUAUGCUAUAAAAUAAAUAUGUUCUUCCUUCUUCAUAUGCCUUUCUAACAACCCAACAGGUCAGGUUUGAAUCUGGAAUCUUCUGACUUAAGAGUCCUUCUCUGGAACGUGAUGGCUCAGUCCCACAUCUGGAGAGAGUUCCUCUGCACUAAUCAAAAUGAAAACCAGUUGCCACCACCUCAGCAGCCAAUGAGCUCCAGAAAACAGGUAGAUGGCGGGCCCCGGCCCCUAGCAGAAGGCAACCCUGCACCCCCACCCUGCUGCACCCCAAUGACGAAUGCCUGGGAGGGAGGGAGACUGCAACUUCCACCUCGUGAGCUCCAA